This 1670-nucleotide unclassified non-coding RNA is filed under the name Hevea brasiliensis (rubber tree). Lineage: Eukaryota; Viridiplantae; Streptophyta; Magnoliopsida; Malpighiales; Euphorbiaceae. The record is from RNAcentral.
AAAAAGAAAAAGAAAAAAAAAAGAGAAAUUUCCCCACAAAUGGAAAUUUCAAGAUCAUCCAAAAUUAGCACCUUCUCACUUCAAAAUUCCUUCUAUUCAUCCUUUAGUGCAGUCAUCCCCCCAUGUCACCUUGAGAUAUUAUAAUUCUGAGAGUAGUCAAGCUGAUCGAUUUCCCAUCUCAAUUUCGAAGCAACCAUCUCAUGACAGGGGACAUACUCCUAUGUUGUUUAUCCAAUAAAAAGAAACAAAAAUUCAUUACCAUCCCUUUUUUUCCACUCCAAGAAGUAAAACAAACUUUAGGAUCAACCCAUAAAAGCCAUAGUGAACAGGCUUAAGAAACAGGGAAAGCACAAAUUUCUUUCAUAUCUACGCAUAACAUCAUUUUGAUAAUUGAUAAAAAAAUGGGUGCACGCUGUUUAGUAAAAUGAAGCCCACUUUGAUUUAUUCGGAGCAAUCAAAUCAAGUCUUUUUUGCAUCUUGGCUUUAAUUCGUUCCAAAUUUUUCUCAGAAGCAACUAAUGGAAGUAAAUACAAUGCAUUUUCCAAAUUCCCAAUAAAUCACUCACAAGAUAAACAAUUCAAAGUGAUGAAAGUAGGCCUAGAUAAGUGGAUACCUUAGCUUACCUCCAAUUUCAUUACCAACUCCUUUGCUGUUGGAGCAGAUGCAAAGAUGUUGCGAGCACUGGGGUGUAUAAAUCCCUCUUCCACAGCUUUGUCAAUAAAUGAGAGCAAAGAAUUGUAGUAUCCAUCAACAUUCAACAAUCCCACCGGUUUGUCGUGAAUUCCUAGUUGAGCCCAGGUUAUCACUUCAAGUAACUCUUCAAGAGUCCCAUAACCACCUGGUAAAGCAAUAAAAGCAUCUGAAUGCUUAGCCAUCUCUGCCUUCCUUUGAUGCAUAUCUGCUACUGCCUUCACUUCCCCCACUGUUUCACCAGUUAACUGCAAAAGGGGUACGACAGGCACAGAAAAAUAAAAAUUGAAGGAUUGAAUAAAGAGAGAAGUUUGGAGGGUUGUGCAGUGAAGCAAUGAUGAGUGUUGCAGGAAUAGUUGGCUUAAUCCAAAGAAUUUAACUCGGCAACUUCCUAGCCAGUAAUUUAUUUAUCUCAUAACAGGAAGAAAAAUAAAAUAAAAUUUUGAAAGAACCCAAUAAAGAAAAACACAGAACAAAACACUGCUAUAGAACUAAACAGAGAAGACAGCAGAAGGUAGAAACCCAUAAAUAUGUAUGUAGAAGGUGUAGUGCCUAGUUGCCAACUAGUCAACUAGUAUUAUGGAUAAGGCUAUCUAGUAUUUGCCACAUGAGUAGAAAUCUUGUGUAACAGCUUAUUUGUUAUUCUGAUCAUAGUAAAUGAAUUAUUUUAUCUCAAUGACAGAUGGAAAUCUUGAGAAACAAACAGAAAAUGACAGAACCGAAAGAAGAGAGAAAAAAAAUAAUAAUAAAGAAAGAAUAAACAAAAAUAAAUAUUUGUACUUAGAUUUCUACGCCCUUGUAAUCUGUGAUUCUUGUUAGAGGUGUAAAUGACUUAAGCUACUUGAACUCAACUAGUAAAAUAAUUUGAAUUCAACUUUAUUUUUAUCAAGUCGAGCUCGAGCUCAAGCCAUUCAACUAAUAUGUUGUGCCAAGUUAAUACUCAACUCAAGUAGCUUGCAAUCUUAAUCGAUGUGUGUGUA